GUGUUUAUUCAUGUUGAUUGAGAAAGAAGGCCAGACCAUCAAAUACAACAGCCUGUACUGUGACAGCAGGAUGGAAAGUUGCAAAGAAAUGCCCAAGUGCAGGAAGUAAAUGAAAAUUUUCUGCAAUCCACAAGAGCAGUGGUGAGACCCAAUGAACCACCACCAGAAAAAAAGGCUGUUAGCUCUGCCUUCACAUUUAAGGAGGAAGUCACCCAACAUUCAGAGUAUUUUGCUCCCUCUCCACCAGCUCAGAGGCUUUCAACUCAUGGGUUCCCUUUAUAGACUAGACUUGAGCACACAAUCUGGAAAAUGAAAGAAUAAGUUAAAAGUUCAACAGUCUUGAUGAGCCCUCUGCUUAUUUCGCUCUCCAGAAGACCUUGGCUAUCUGUUCUUGAUAUCCCUGCUGCAGAUACUGUCAUUGCAGUCGAAACUGUUACCUUUAUGAUCUCCCCACAUGCCUAAGGAACAUGCCUAGGCAGGAUCCACUCGCACGCCGAACUGAGACACCACCAUGAGUCGCCUAGGGAUCAGCCAAGAAACCAGCUGAGAGCCACCGAGAGACCAGGCUGAGAGCCACCACGAGACCAGGCUGAGAGCUACCGGGAGACCAGGCUGUGAGCCACCGAGAGACCAGAAUGAGAGCCACCGCGAGACCAGACUGAGAGCCACCGCGAGACCAGACUGAGAGCCACCAAGAGACCAGGCUGCGAGCCACUGAGAGACCAGGCUGAGAGCCACAGAGAGACCAGGAUGAGAGCCACCAAGA
Non-coding RNA from Chiloscyllium plagiosum (whitespotted bambooshark), 766 nucleotides. The record is from RefSeq and is a predicted model, not a curated record. Lineage: Eukaryota; Metazoa; Chordata; Chondrichthyes; Orectolobiformes; Hemiscylliidae.